UACGAAGGGGGCUAGCGUUGCUCGGAAUCACUGGGCGUAAAGCGCACGUAGGCGGCUUUUUAAGUCAGGGGUGAAAUCCUGGAGCUCAACUCCAGAACUGCCUUUGAUACUGAGAAGCUUGAGUCCGGGAGAGGUGAGUGGAACUGCGAGUGUAGAGGUGAAAUUCGUAGAUAUUCGCAAGAACACCAGUGGCGAAGGCGGCUCACUGGCCCGGUACUGACGCUGAGGUGCGAAAGCGUGGGGAGUAAACAGG
Molecule: ribosomal RNA, 253 nt
Filed under: uncultured bacterium
Lineage: Bacteria
Description: partial 16S ribosomal RNA
Rfam family: Bacterial small subunit ribosomal RNA
Source: RNAcentral